This 492-nucleotide ribosomal RNA is filed under the name uncultured bacterium. Its description in RNAcentral is "partial 16S ribosomal RNA". It matches the Rfam family "Bacterial small subunit ribosomal RNA", at positions 30 to 507 of the family's 1533-position model. The record is from RNAcentral.
AGUGAACGCUGGCGGUAGGCCUAACACAUGCAAGUCGAACGGCAGCACAGUAAGAGCUUGCUCUUACGGGUGGCGAGUGGCGGACGGGUGAGGAAUACAUCGGAAUCUACUUUUUCGUGGGGGAUAACGUAGGGAAACUUACGCUAAUACCGCAUACGACCUACGGGUGAAAGCAGGGGAUCUUCGGACCUUGCGCGAUUGAAUGAGCCGAUGUCGGAUUAGCUAGUUGGCGGGGUAAAGGCCCACCAAGGCGACGAUCCGUAGCUGGUCUGAGAGGAUGAUCGGACGGAAGGGAACUGAGAGAAGGUCUAGACGCAGACGGGAGGCAGCAGCAGGGAAUGUGCCGCAAGGGGCGAAAGCCUGACGGAGCAAAGCCGCGUGAGUGAGGAAGGUAUUCGGAGCGUAAAACGCUCUGAUGAGGGAAGAAAAAAAGGGUAAGGAACUAUGCACGUCUGGACGGUACCGGACCAGAAAGACACGGAUAAGUACGUG